GUCACCUUGAGCCAAUCUUGGUCCGCCAAAUCAUCCUCUCUGCCUCAAACUGUUCUGCAACUAUCGCUCACUAUGUCCAUUCAAUCCUCCACCAUUCCAAGUCUCCAGACUCCUUCUCAUGGGCUUGCACAAUUCGCUUCUUCACUCAGCAUGGCCAAUUCAAAGGGGCUUUUGCUCUUUUGGUUCAAAUGAAGAGGUGGGGACUGUGUCCCACCACAUUUGCUCUGUCUUCUGCUCUGAAGGCGUGUGAUAGAAUUGUGUACAGAAUGGGCGUGCUUUCCAUUCAUGGUCAGGUUCAGAAAUUUGGGUUUUGUGGUGGUGGUGACGGGAUUUAUAUGGAGACAGCUCUGGUGGAUUUUGACUGCAAACUGGGUGAUAUGGAGAUUUCAAGCAAGAUGUUUGAUGAAACGGCUGGCAUUCGAUGUUAGCAGGGUGUCUGAAGUCUGGGGAUUUAGCGGUGGCUCAGAGGGUGUUUGAUGAGAUUCCGCAGAAAGAUGUUAUUUCGUGGAAUUCCAUGUUUUCGUGAUAUGCCAGAUCAGGGGAUUUGGAGAAGGCGUCAUCCUUGUUUCAACAAAUGCCCGAGAGGAAUUUUGCUUCUUGGAAUGCGAUGAUUAAUGGGUAUGUGGAGUUUGGGGAUCUAGAAUCUGCUAGAAGCUUUUUUUGAUGCAAUGCCGCAGAGAAAUAGUGCUUCUUGGAUGACCAUGAUUUCUGGGUACUCGAAAUGUGGGGAUGUUGAUUCUGCGUGUGAACUAUUUGAUCAGGUCGGUGGGAAGGAUCUGCUCUUGUUUAAUGCCGUAAUAGCUUGCUAUGCUCAAAAUAGCAAACUGAAGGAGGCUCUUAAGCUAUUUAACAUGAUGCUCCAUCCAAAUGUAAAUGUUCAGCCAGAUGAGAUGACUUUGGCUAGUGUUAUAUCUCCAUGUUCUCAAUUUGGAGACUUCAGAUUUGGGCCCUGGAUUGAGUCAUAUAUGAGAAGACUUGGAAUUGAAAUGGAUGGUCGUUUGGCCACUGCUUUACUUGACUUGUAUGCUUAGUGUGGAAGCAUUGACAAGGCAUAUGAAUUGUUCCAUGGUUUGAGGAAGAAGGAUUUGGUCGCUUAUACUGCAAUGAUCUUGGGGUGUGGCAUAAAUGGUAAAGCUAUUGAUGCAAUCAAGUUGUUUGAUAAGAUGGUAGAUGCCCAGAUUUGCCCAAAUUUAAUUAUGUUCACAGGGCUAUUAACCACCUAUAACCAUUCUGGUUUGGUUGAAGAAGGCUACCAUUGCUUUACCACCAUGAAGAAGUAUAAUCUUGUGCCUUUGGUUGAUCAUUAUGGAAUCAUGGUUGAUCUUUUUGGCAGGGCAGGAUGGCUACAAGAAGCACUUGAGCUAAUAAAGAAUAUGCCUAUGCAGCCUCAUGCUGGGGUUUGGGGAGCUUUGCUUUUUGCUUGCAGGUUGCAUAACAAUGCUGAUCUUGGGGAGAUUGCAACUCAGCAUUUCUUUGAAUUGGAGCCUGAUACAACUGGUUAUUGUUUUCUUCCUUGCAAUAUUUAUGUCUCUGGUGAGAGGUUGGAUGAUGUCAAGAGAUUGAGAAAGAUCAGAAAGGAGAAGACAUUUUCCAAAUACCUGGUUGCAGUUGGAUGGAAUUCUCUUGACUCCCUUCUAAUAAGAAAUAUGCACUCACAAAACAGUGUGUCUGCUCCAUUUUGGGUUCAAUAACACUUCAAUGACUUCAUACUUCUGGUUUUCAGAGAACUAUGUUCUCAUAUCCUACCUUUUGUAGUUUCAUAAACUUGGAAUUCUACAUGACCUGGGUAGUUGGGUUAGAGUCAGAUGUAGCUCCAUUGUAAUGGAAUGGAAGCUAAACCUCUGGGAAGAAAUGGAAAUCUGCAAAUUUUCUGAUACUGAGGAAGGGAUUUUCCUCUCAUCCAUUGUAAGAUUGCUGAAUACAAGGGUUGCCAUCAUAUACCAGUUAAAGAACAUAAUUGGUAAAGGAGAUUUUCAGCAAUGAUAUAUGACGUACUUACUGCAAGGUAAUGAAUCCUGGUACUAGAUUGGAAUCCUCUGAAACCUCCACAUCACACUCCUUGCAGGCAUUUCAGUUUUAGUCCAUGUCCAAGCUGAUAAGACAGAAAGAGACUUUGCUAAGUUCCUUGGAAGCUAUUAUCUUAAACAUCUUGCAGAGCCCAAAACCCUGAGCUUUGGCAGAGUAGGAUUGUUCAAUUAUGGAAUGUCCUUGGAUAUGACAAAUGGGGAAGGGGAAGGUCAUGCUCCCGCUUUGAGUCAUGUGUUCAAUGUGCAUUAAAUGUCUCCUACAUCAAUAGUGAUGAUCAACUCAAAGAUGCUCUUGCAAAACCAUGAUCAUGUACGAGAUUUGAGCUACUUUGUUCCAAGAUUGGAGUCUAUGGUUUUGCAUGCAAAUCUUUUGAGUCAAUAACUCUAACCCGUUUCUCUCAGUAAUUCACUAUUUGAUCAUAAACAUGAACACAUGAUAUAUCUUCAAAAAUUGAUUUUUAACAUUUAAAUGUGUGAAGCAAUGUAGGCCAAGAAGAUAUUUGGCCACUUUGUUGAAAGCAUCAUUCACAAAUUUGAAGUCAAUCUUCAAUUUUCAAUUUUUCUGAAAUCACCAUGGAUGCAUUUCUUUAUCUAUUUUGCUCUGUAAGAAGACAACCAUUGGUAAAAAAUGUAUUCAUUUUAGAGGUUCUUCUUUCUCCCAUUCUCUUAUGAAGUUUUUCACUGUCAACUCUUAUGACAAAUUUUGAUCAAAAUCAAAUGCUGCAGUCAUCAAAUUGAGCUGAUCUUCAAUGAACAAUGACUGAUUUAUGUACAAAAGUAUAGGCUAUAUUUGUGCAUUGAAGGUGUUCUAUGGAAUUCCCCAAAAAACCACUCUUUGUCAAAAUGCCCAUUCAUGGGAUUACGUCCACAACAUGUUAACCUUGGAUCAUGAUUGCUUUACCUCAUCCCUGGCCUUCUGGGGCAUGCCAUCUGCAGGCAAACCCCACUUAUAACUCCCGAUUUGUUUCAUUCAAUAUUGUUUAUGGGUAUUUGUUUCAUAAUUUUCAUCAAGAACAUUAUAUACAGACUAUGGAUUGGCAUAUUUUGCAAGCAUUAACAUUUCCAGGAGUUGCUAUUCACCAGAGGGAUCUUGUAAUAAAAAAUUUUCUUUGUAUAUUUUACAUCUUAGUUGCACAAGAUGCAGCUUGCUAGGAAUGCACUGUUAGGCGCUCUUCAUCUGGUUGAUUGUACUUAAGAUAGAAUUUGCUGUCAAUUAUUCUCUUCCUGCUUCAUGACACAAUUCUUAUAUAUUUUCAAAUGAACUCUAAUCUUAGAUAAAUUGCAUGAAACGCUAUCUAAUGUACAUAUUAACAAUGCCUUUGUAAGAAUAGUAUGAUGUUGGCAAAACUCAAACUUCCAAAGAAAACUGAAGCAUCAAUCAAGAUUAUACAAUAUGUGUCCUUUCUGCUCAUCAAGGCUGCAUUUUCAGCUUUGUAAUCAAUAUGGUGUCAUGGUUUCCUUUUCAGAACAGGCUGCAAGCUUAUGUCCUUGCUGGAUUAUGAAGUUGCUUUGAUGGGGUUUUGAGGUUGAACUUGCUCAAGUAAUUUUCAUAAACAUGUAUGAAGGAGGACAAUAGUACCUUAAAGGAGAGUAUAUUCACAAGUACAUUAGAGGUUUUGCUUUUAGUUUUUUCUAUCAAUCCUUCAUGGUAUUAACCUCAACUAUGGAUACUAAUUAUUUUGCACCAGAAUCUUGUGUAACCAUCUGCAUAUGGCCUAUUAUAAUUUUUGUUCCUAUUAGAGAAUGGUGUUUGUGGCAAAUGAUUAGGAUGUUUUAAUCAGUUUUUGUCUGUUUUUUUUUUCAAUCCUUGUUUGAAGCUAAAGGGCAUUUGGCAUUUUGAUAAAUUGAACUCAUUUUUUCCUAUGUAGGGAGUACAACAUGUUAGGCUCCAUGAUUGUAUUGAAUUUGUAAUAAACUCUGUUUGAACUGAGAAAAUCUCUCAAACAUUGACCGAAAAAGCAAACUAAGAUGAAUAAUUAGCCAGGGAUUAUACAAGAAUGGGUCUGAUUUCUCUUAUCCUUUAGUUUGGUUCUCUGAAAUGCCUUAUGAAGGAGAACCCAAUUGACUAGGUUUUUACGAAUUCUGGAUGUUCCCAAAACUGCAUUGCAAUAGAAGGGUAAAACAAAGCUUCAGCAAUUUCAGAAACAGUUCAUUUGAGUAAAUAUGAGGUAAAUUCAUGACAAUGAGCUGAAAGCAGAGUUAUUUUGGAUUACAAGCAAGAUGGACUAUGAAUUGGCAUAUGCUUGUUAGUGGUUGAGCUGUAUAAACUGAAAUGAUAUUUUGUCUCACACCCUUCUGGCAGCUGGUUCCACUGGCACCCCCUGCUUACCUACCUGAGAAAGAAAGAUGGAAAUUUUACCUUCUAGAUGGUAUUUGGUAAGCAAAAACUGUUGUUUUGUUUCUUAACAACAUAACAGGGACACUAUUUGAUAAAGAUAAAUUUCAGAUAGGCUAAAGUUGGCAUUUUCUCAUGACAUUACAUCACUAAUUUCUUGGUCUCUUAUCUUAUUCAUCUGUAUGUGUUUGUGCACCAUUUCUUGAACUCUAUGGUCUUUUGGUGGUGAACUAGAGUGUUGUUGCAGAUGAUUUUAAAUGGUUAUUCUGAGCUAUAAAUGCCAUUCUUUCCACUGUUCUGCAGGGAUGAUCAGAUCAUUUUCCAUGGACAUUGUUGAGUAUCCAGUGAGGCCAACUUUUGGGUAAGUUUCUCAGUAUAUUCCUCAGCAAUCAAUUGAAUACUUUAAUGAGCUCUAGUCCCUCUUUCAGCUUGAAGUUUUGGUGGUUGUGAGCUUAAUGGCCCCAGACAUUGUGGGCCAAAACAAGCCCUCUUUGUUGAAAAGAUUUGAAAUACUUUAAAUGCAAAAAAAAGGACCUAAGAUCUCCUAUAAAAUUGAAUGAACCUGUCCCCAUCUCAGGUUCACCUUUCCAUUUCAACUUCUGCUAGGCAACCGACAACACAGUUUGCUAUAUAGUCUCUGCAAACUUCAUUCUUAUAGUAAAUUUUGCAGAUGAAAUAGUACUAUGCCCAACAAGUAGUAGGUGAUCCUCACCCAAACUCACUUUGUAUAGGAAAAUGUCAAAAAAUGUACUAAAAACCAUGGCUGAACAGAUGCUAUAUAUAGUAUAAGUUACCCAUCUCUACUCUUGCUA
Long non-coding RNA from Vitis riparia (riverbank grape), 5174 nucleotides. RefSeq lists it as uncharacterized. NCBI's taxonomy places the organism in Eukaryota, Viridiplantae, Streptophyta, Magnoliopsida, Vitales, Vitaceae. The transcript has 2 exons. The record is from RefSeq and is a predicted model, not a curated record.